CCUCGCCCCUGCCCCACCCCGACGCUCGCCACACCUCGGUGUUUGCGGAGCCUCGGCCUCUGCCCCGGCGGUCUGGGAGCGGACGCCUAGCCCUGGGCCGGGCGGCCCUGAAGAGGGAAGUGCGGCUGCGGGGCCGCGGGGACUUACCUGCAGCAGCACGGCCAGCAGGAAGCACAAGUACAUCUGUGUCUUUCUCUGUCACCCAGGCUGGAGUGCAGUGGCUUGAUCACAUCUCACUGCAGCCUUAACCUCCCCAGCUCAGGUGAUCCUUCCACCUCAGCCUCCCAGUGUCCUGGUGACCAGUUUUCUAUUUCUUCAUCUUCCAUGGUGGAGACAUGCCCAUUGAGGAUAAAAUAAAGAACUAAGGUAGGUGAAGGAAAAAUAAAGAAGAUGAG
Molecule: long non-coding RNA, 395 nt
Organism: Pongo pygmaeus (Bornean orangutan)
Lineage: Eukaryota; Metazoa; Chordata; Mammalia; Primates; Hominidae
Exons: 3
Source: RefSeq, a predicted model, not a curated record